This 254-nucleotide ribosomal RNA is filed under the name uncultured bacterium. RNAcentral describes it as "partial 16S ribosomal RNA". It matches the Rfam family "Bacterial small subunit ribosomal RNA", at positions 524 to 776 of the family's 1533-position model. The record is from RNAcentral.
CACGGGGGGAGCAAGCGUUGUUCGGAAUCACUGGGCGUAAAGGGCGCGUAGGCGGUCAGCACAAGUCAGUUGUGAAAUCUCCGGGCUUAACUCGGAAAGGUCAACUGAUACUGUGCGACUAGAGUGCAGAAGGGGCAACUGGAAUUCUCGGUGUAGCGGUGAAAUGCGUAGAUAUCGAGAGGAACACCUGCGGCGAAGGCGGGUUGCUGGGCUGACACUGACGCUGAUGCGCGAAAGUGUGGGGAUCAAACAGG